CUACGGGGGGCAGCAGUAGGGAAUAUUGCGCAAUGGGCGAAAGCCUGACGCAGCAACGCCGCGUGAGUGAGGAAGGUCUUCGGAUUGUAAAGCUCUGUUAAGGUGGAAAAACAAAUUACGGUCUAAUAGGCAGUAAUUUUGAUGGUACACCUAGAGGAAGCACCGGCGUAACUUCGUGCCAGCAGCCGCGGUAAUACGAAGGGUGCGAGCGUUGUUCGGAUUUAUUGGGCGUAAAGCGCGCGCAGGCGGAUUAUUAAGUCAGGUGUGAAAUCUCGGGGCUCAACUCCGAAACUGCGCCUGAAACUGAUAAUCUAGAAUCUCAGAGGGGGUAGGGGAAUUUCUUAUGUAGGAGUAAAAUCCGUAGAGAUAAGAAGGAACACCAGAGGCGAAGGCGCCUACCUGGAUGAGUAUUGACGCUGAGGCGCGAAAGCGUGGGGAGCAAACAGGAUUAGAUACCCCAGUAGUC
This 466-nucleotide ribosomal RNA is filed under the name uncultured bacterium. RNAcentral describes it as "partial 16S ribosomal RNA". It matches the Rfam family "Bacterial small subunit ribosomal RNA", at positions 339 to 795 of the family's 1533-position model. The record is from RNAcentral.